UGAACGCUAGCGACAGGCCUAACACAUGCAAGUCGAGGGGCGGCACGAGGAGCAAUCUGAGUGGCGACCGGCGCACGGGUGAGUAACACGCAUGCAACCUGCCUGUAAGCGGGGAAUAACCCGUUGAAAGACGGACUAAUACCGCAUAAUACUAAAUUACUGCAUGGUAAUUUAUUUAAACAUUUAUGGCUUACAGAUGGGCAUGCGCAUGAUUAGCUAGUUGGAGAGGUAACGGCUCCCCAAGGCAACGAUCAUUAGGGGUUCUGAGGGGAAGGUCCCCCCACACUGGUACUGAGACACGGACCAGACUCCUACGGGAGGCAGCAGUGAGGAAUAUUGGUCAAUGGACGAGAGUCUGAACCAGCCAAGUCGCGUGCAGGAAGAAUUGUCCUAUGGAUUGUAAACUGCUUUUGCAGGGGAAUAAAGUGCAUCACGUGUGAUGUUUUGUAUGUACUCUGCGAAUAAGGAUCGGCUAACUCCGUGCCAGCCGCCGC
This 494-nucleotide ribosomal RNA is filed under the name uncultured bacterium. RNAcentral's name for it is "bacterial SSU rRNA". It matches the Rfam family "Bacterial small subunit ribosomal RNA", at positions 30 to 518 of the family's 1533-position model. The record is from RNAcentral.